GAGGUGCUUUGCACCUAGUGGCGAACGGGUGAGUAACACGUAACAAACCUACCUUUUAGUGGGGGAUAACAGUUGGAAACGACUGCUAAUACCGCAUACGACACCAUUAUGGCAUCAGAAGGUGUUAAAAGGCCCGUUUGGGUCGCUAGAAGAUGGGGAUGCGGCGUAUUAACUAGUAGGUGGGGUAAUUGCCCACCUAGGCAAUGACACGUAGCCGAACUGAGAGGUUGAUCGGCCACAUUGGGACUGAGAUACGGCCCAGACUCCUACGGGAGGCAGCAGUAGGGAAUUUUUCACAAUGGACGAAAGUCUGAUGAAGCAAUGCCGCGUGAGUGAUGACGGUCUUCGGAUUGUAAAGCUCUGUUGUAAGGGAAGAAUAGGUAAAAGAGGAAAUGCUUUUAUUUUGACGGUACCUUACCACAAAGCCCCGGCUAACUAUGUGCCACCACCCGCGCUAAUACAUAGGUGGCAAGCGUUAUCCGGAUUUAUUGGGGCGUACAGGGUGCGUAUGCGGUUCUAUAACUUUGAGGUUAAAUCUCCGGGCACAACCCCGGGGUCGCCCUAUAGAACUGUCUUACAAGAAUACACCAGA
Molecule: ribosomal RNA, 592 nt
Filed under: uncultured bacterium
Lineage: Bacteria
Description: bacterial SSU rRNA
Rfam family: Bacterial small subunit ribosomal RNA
Source: RNAcentral